This 97-nucleotide signal recognition particle RNA is filed under the name Pseudoalteromonas spongiae. Its description in RNAcentral is "signal recognition particle sRNA small type". It matches the Rfam family "Bacterial small signal recognition particle RNA". From Rfam's summary of the family: The signal recognition particle (SRP) is a universally conserved ribonucleoprotein involved in the co-translational targeting of proteins to membranes. The record is from RNAcentral. Lineage: Bacteria; Pseudomonadati; Pseudomonadota; Gammaproteobacteria; Alteromonadales; Pseudoalteromonadaceae. RNAcentral also lists the same sequence under 5 other names.
UAUUGGUCCUCCCGCAAUAAUAGCGCGUGAAUCUGGUCAGGCCCGGAAGGGAGCAGCCACAGCGUGUGACUUAUGUGCCGGGAUGUGGCUGGUAAGA